This 253-nucleotide ribosomal RNA is filed under the name uncultured bacterium. RNAcentral's name for it is "partial 16S ribosomal RNA". It matches the Rfam family "Bacterial small subunit ribosomal RNA", at positions 524 to 776 of the family's 1533-position model. The record is from RNAcentral.
UACGAAGGGGGCUAGCGUUGCCGGGAAUUCCUGGGCGUAAAGCGCACGAAGGCGGAUUUGAUCGUCAGGGGUGAAAUCCCGGGGCUCAACCUCGGAACUGCCUUUGAUACUGCAAGCCUCGAGUCCGCAAGAGGUGAGUGUACUUCCUAGUGUAGAGGGAAAAUUCGUAGAUAUUAGGAGGAACACCAGUGGCGAAGGUGGCUCACUGUUCCGGUACUGACGCUCAGGUGCUACAGCGUGGGGAGCAAACAGG